GUGAAUUGUGGUCCAGAAGCGGGGGUAAGAGGAAGGAUGGAAGGUUGAUCCGUGUUGAGUGUGUUGAACGGGAGAGUAGGCGGCCUUUUAAGUCAGUGGUGAAAACUUGUGGCGUAACCCAGAAACGUCCAUUGAUACUGCAAGGCUAGAGUACAGUUGCCGUUGGCGGAAUAUGACAUGUAGUGGUGAAAUACUUAGAUAUGUCAUAGAACACCGAUUGCGAAGGCAGCUAACGAAGCUGUAACUGACGCUGAGGCUCGAAAGUGCGGGGAUCAAACAGGAUUAGAUACCCGAGUAGUC
Molecule: ribosomal RNA, 300 nt
Filed under: uncultured Helicobacter sp.
Lineage: Bacteria; Pseudomonadati; Campylobacterota; Epsilonproteobacteria; Campylobacterales; Helicobacteraceae
Description: bacterial SSU rRNA
Rfam family: Bacterial small subunit ribosomal RNA
Source: RNAcentral